Long non-coding RNA from Zingiber officinale, 973 nucleotides. RefSeq lists it as uncharacterized. The transcript is spliced from 6 exons. The record is from RefSeq and is a predicted model, not a curated record. Lineage: Eukaryota; Viridiplantae; Streptophyta; Magnoliopsida; Zingiberales; Zingiberaceae.
CUCCAAUAAAAUCACUCGCCCCGCCUCUACAUCCCUAAUUUUUCUUUUCUCCCUCAACAAAUAUCGUCGAUCGUCCAUGCGCAACCUUCCGCCCACCCUCGACAUCCUUUUGCACCAUCUCCCACUAGUGCCAUCUGCCCCUCCGUCUGCCCCGCCAUCUGUCCCUCCGUCUGCCUCGCCGUCUGUCCACUGCCUGCCCCGUCGUUUGUCACGCCGAGGUCCUUAUUCUUUCCUCUUCCACGGUCUCGUGAUCGGAAGCCCUAGGUUUUUCUUGAUUUUGAAGAAAGAGUGGAUUUUACUUUAAGGUUCAUUGACACAAAAGUUCACCAGCAACAAUACAAUAGCAGUUUCCCAAAGAAAAGAAAAGGGGCAAUCUCCAUCACGAGUUGAAUUAUUCCAUGUUUGCUUCACUCAUGCUAAUCGAAGCCCCUCAAGCAACAUUGUGGCAGAAAAAUCGAUUGGAUGUUUUAUCUUGAUAAAAAGUCUAUUUGAUUCUACGGAAAUUGUGGAAAAAGGGGUUGUUCGUAGCAUGGACUAGAAUAUUGAAGUAGGAAGUCAGGUGUUGAGACCAAAUUGGUGUGAAAUACAAGUUUUAGUUGUCCUAGAAUGAGAAGAGUGCUUGAUUAGACCAUAUGAUCUUUUAUAAAGGUUUAAGGAUGCACUUGGAGGAAUGAUAGCUUGGCCUUGUUAUCUGUUAAUGAAGAAGACUUCUCCACUAAGUACAUUUGGAGUUUUGUGGCACAAUAGCAAGGUGAAGAAUAUUGGAUUUUGUUUAAGAUGUGAUGGUUGAAGAAUGAAGAUGCACCACAAGUUUGGUUAUAUUUUUCUUUACGAGACUUAAUUUUUUGUUAGUUCUUAAACUAAAUACAUUGGGUAUAGUUGUAAUUGGUAUAUGAUAUCUAUUUUUUGAGGUGACAGACUUAUCACCCUUGCGGAUUACAAAAUUAAUGACAAUUAUUGAUUAGCACUUUAA